AGAGAGAGAGAGAGAGAGAGAGAGAGAGAGAGAGAGAGAGAGAGCAGCAAGCAAUCGUUAUAAAUCUUCAACUCUAAAGCAACCUCUAAGACGUUUACGAUCUGUUAGAUAAUAUUAGAUCAACGAUGGUAUCCAUCUAACAAAACGAUUGUCAAUCAUCGAAGCUAAAUCGAUUUACCAAAAUUUUCCUCGCAACGAAUCUUUGAUAUUAUUAUUUUAUAUCCCGAUGAUAUACAAUCGUAUAUCUUUCUCUCUAUUUUUUUUCUCUCUAAAGAAAAAUUUGAUUAGGGGACUCCAUCAUCUCUUUCGCUUUCUUCUUCUUGUCACGCUAUUCCCCUUACAUAGCAAUUAAUUCGUUAUUACCGCAUUGCCGGGUUGUAAGUCACGGAAAGUAAUUACAACGCUUGGUAAUUCCUGCACCGUUAAGUUACGCAGCUGGGAUAAUGGGACAUAGUUUUUUCCUUCAACACAAUUUCAGUAGAUCUAACUCAUUUUCAUUUUACCAUCGUGCUCGUUGUUAAUAUCUUAUUAUUAAUUCUUUGAGAAAAAAUAAUAAUAGAAAAAGAAAAAAGUAAUUAUCCUCUUAUCGAUAAUACGAAAUCGAAUUGAUUAGUGUUAAUGAAAAAAUGAUCGAUGAGAUCGAUACGGACGAUUCAAAUUUCAAGGAAACUCGUUGCUGAUACGAGUUUAAUCGAGAGAAACUAGAUACUCUUUAGCCAGCAUGCAUUAGCAGCUGUUUUCUCAGUGAUCGGUACCUAAGUAGCAGGGAAAUACACGGUUCGAUCGAUUCUAUGGAUCGUUGCCAAAACAAAUAAAGCCAAAUACUUAGAUGUUUUCGUUCGAUGGAUGAAGAUGAUGAUGUUGGGAAGACUUACCUCCAAAUGUGUGGGGAAAAUCCAGGACACACGUCUCCACACUGUAAACAUGGCUGCCCCUCCUCGACGUCCGUGAUCAGGACACCCUAACACAAGAUUCGUUCGUUAAUUUUCAUAUUAUUCAUCUUCGUUUUUCAUAUAUAAUGUUUGUUUACGUUAUCUCAACAAAUAAUGAGUAAUUUGUUAAAUAUAGAAAAAAUUAUAGCUUAUUCCAUGCGACCUAACAACAUCCAUUACAUUCCAAUUUUCGUAUUAUUUAUUUUUACUUUUUGUACAUAAUUUUUGUUUACGUAAUCUCGACAAAUGUGAAUAACUUGCUAAAUAUAGAAGAAAGUACAGCUUAUUCCAUGUGACCUCCUAACAAGAUUCAUUAACCAAUUUUCAUAGUAUUUAUUUUUACUUUUUGUAUAUAAUUUUUGUUUACGUAAUCUCGAUAAAUGUGAAUAACUUGUUAAAUAUA
This is a long non-coding RNA of Vespula pensylvanica (western yellowjacket), 1335 nucleotides long. RefSeq lists it as uncharacterized. The record is from RefSeq and is a predicted model, not a curated record. The transcript has 2 exons. Lineage: Eukaryota; Metazoa; Arthropoda; Insecta; Hymenoptera; Vespidae.